Molecule: long non-coding RNA, 239 nt
Filed under: Lathyrus oleraceus (garden pea)
Lineage: Eukaryota; Viridiplantae; Streptophyta; Magnoliopsida; Fabales; Fabaceae
Description: Pisum sativum (pea) long non-coding RNA (PSAT_LNC027688)
Source: RNAcentral
AGAAAAAAAAUUAAGUAGGAAUACUUUCCAUUUAGCUAUUUUAGGGAUAAAUAACUAAAAUCAUAAGAGAAAACAUAACUCAACAAAGAAGUGCAUAAAUCCUAUCGUGAGACUUAGAAGUUUGGCAUAAAACACUAGGUUACAUUGUUUCCUCAUUUGUCAUGACAUGUCAUAUCACCUUAACACACUUAGUAAAAUUAUUAAAUGGAUCAAUGUCUAACAUGUCCCUUAACUCUUUU